Molecule: ribosomal RNA, 486 nt
Filed under: uncultured bacterium
Lineage: Bacteria
Description: bacterial SSU rRNA
Rfam family: Bacterial small subunit ribosomal RNA
Source: RNAcentral
AUUGAACGCUGGCGGAAUGCUUUACACAUGCAAGUCGAACGGCAGCACGAGAGCUUGCUCUUGGUGGCGAGUGGCGAACGGGUGAGUAAUAUAUCGGAACGUAUCCAAUAAUGGGGGAUAACUAAUCGAAAGGUUGGCUAAUACCGCAUACGCCCUACGGGGGAAAGCAGGGGAUCUUCGGACCUUGCGUUAAUGGAGCGGCUGAUAUCUGAUUAGCUAGUAGGUGAGGUAAAGGCUCACCUAGGCUUCGAUCAGUAGCUGGUCUGAGAGGACGACCAGCCACACUGGAACUGAGACACGGUCCAGACUCCUACGGGAGGCAGCAGUGGGGAAUUUUGGACAAUGGGGGCAACCCUGACCCAGCCAUUCCGCGUGAGUGAAGAAGGCCUUCGGGUUGUAAAGCUCUUUCGCAAGGGAAGAAACGUUACGAGCGAAUAACUCGUGAUAAUGACGGUACCUUGAUAAGAAGCACCGGCUAACUACGUG